Molecule: ribosomal RNA, 414 nt
Filed under: Shigella flexneri
Lineage: Bacteria; Pseudomonadati; Pseudomonadota; Gammaproteobacteria; Enterobacterales; Enterobacteriaceae
Description: partial 23S ribosomal RNA
Rfam family: Bacterial large subunit ribosomal RNA
Source: RNAcentral
AAUGGAAGGGCCAUCGCUCAACGGAUAAAAGGUACUCCGGGGAUAACAGGCUGAUACCGCCCAAGAGUUCAUAUCGACGGCGGUGUUUGGCACCUCGAUGUCGGCUCAUCACAUCCUGGGGCUGAAGUAGGUCCCAAGGGUAUGGCUGUUCGCCAUUUAAAGUGGUACGCGAGCUGGGUUUAGAACGUCGUGAGACAGUUCGGUCCCUAUCUGCCGUGGGCGCUGGAGAACUGAGGGGGGCUGCUCCUAGUACGAGAGGACCGGAGUGGACGCAUCACUGGUGUUCGGGUUGUCAUGCCAAUGGCACUGCCCGGUAGCUAAAUGCGGAAGAGAUAAGUGCUGAAAGCAUCUAAGCACGAAACUUGCCCCGAGAUGAGUUCUCCCUGACCCUUUAAGGGUCCUGAAGGAACGUUG